GAGGGGAGAACCAGUAGCCACCAUCCGUCCUCUAAUAAUAUGUGGAGGCUGAGAAGGGGAGACACAGGAGCACAGACUGAAGCAGCCAUACUCUAUUUGCUUCCCUCUUGUGUCUGCUGCAUCCUGGGCUACUUCUCUUCCUCAUUUCAGGAUUUUCUUCUGGCUGCCCCUCUGCUGUGACCUUUUGCUCCCAGGAAAUACAAAAUCUUUGGGGGUUGCAUGCCUCCCAACUUUUUGGAUGGUCAAAAAGGGACAUUUAUGGUUCAUUGUGCGAAAUAUCUAUUUUUCCUGCAUAUCUAUACACUUCAAUGGUUUUCUUUGCACAAUAGCGCAAAAAUUAACUGAAUGUUAAAAUUUCGAAAAUCCAAAUUGCAUGAAACAAUGAAAUAAUAUACAAUGCAGCUCUAAUAUCCAGAGAGGAACCAGACAAACACUUUCUGGGUCAAUAUUGUAAUUGUAAUAAUGUUAAACUAUACCUCAGAUCAAAAUGAGGGACAUGUAAGGAGCAAAGAGGGACAGAUGAACUUGGGUAAAAAAUAGAGACUGUGCCUCCAGAAAAGGGACACUUUGGAGUUCUGGGGUUGGAAGAUGAAGAGAUAGAAGCAACACAAACCACACAUGAAAAUAUAAUAAAAUGUAAUAAGAACAUUAAGCAUCAAACCUCACAGAAGACCCCAAAAUAAAUUCAGAUCCCAGACCAGAACCUUCAUGGUAGAGGGUGGGAAGGUGAUCACAGUAGAGGGUCACAAAUGGAUCCUGGUAAAGGCUGGGAAGGUGAUCACAGUAGAGGGUCAGACAGUGAUCCUGGUAGAGGUUGGGAAGGUGAUCAUGGUAGAGGGUCAGACAGUGAUCUUGGUAGAGGGUGGGGUGGUGAUCCUGGUAGAUGGUGCGAAGGUGAUCAUGGUAGAGGGUUGGAAGGUGAUCAUGGCAGAGGGUGAGAAGGUGUUCCUGGUGAAGAGUGGAAAGGUGAUCAUCGUACAGGGUGGGACAGUGAUCCUGGUAAAGUGUGGGAAGGUGAUCAUGAUAGAGGGUCAGACAGUGAUCUUGGUAGAGGACAGGGCAGUGAUCCUGGUAGAGGGUGCGAAGGUGAUCAUGGUAAAGGGUGGAAAGGUAAUCACAAUAGAGGAUCACACAGUGACCCUGGUAAAGAGUGGAGAGGUGAUCAUGGUACAGGGUGGGACAUUAAUCCUGGUUGAGGGUGGGAAGGUGAUCAUGGUAGAGGGUGGGAAGGUGGUCAUGGUAGAGGAUGGGACAGUGAUCCUGGUAGAGGGUUGGAAGGUGAACAUGGUAGAGAGUGGGAAGGUGAUCAUCGUAGAGGGUGAGAAGGUGAUUAUGGUAGAGGGUGGGAAGGUGAUCCUGGUAGAGGGUGGAAUGGUGAUCCUGGUAGAGGGUGGGAUGGUGACCUAGUAUAGGGUCAGACAGUGAUCCUGGUAGAGGGUGGGAAGGUUAUCACAGUAGAGGGUCAUACAUUGAUCCUGGUAAAGGGUGGGAUGGUCAUCCUGGUAGAAGGUCAGACAGUAACCCCGGUAGAAGGUGUGAAGUUGAUCAUGGUAGAGGGUGGGAAGGUGAUCACAGUAGAGGGUCACUCAGUGAUCCUGGUAUAGGGUGGGAAGGUGAUUAUGGUACAGGGUGGGACAGUGAUCCUGGUUAAGAGUCAGACAGUGAUCCUGGUAGAGGGCAGGAAGGGGAUCAUGAUAGAGGGUGGGAAGGUGAUCCUGGUAGAGAGUAGGACAGUUGAAUCAAAUAAUAACCACAGCCAAGGUUUUGGCUUUUGUUAGGUACACGCCCCUUGUUGGUCCUUUUCUACCCAAGGGACCACAAAUAAGCAAAAUAUAAUCCUGGAUUAUGCCUAGAGUGUUUCAGACUUGCUUGAGAAAGGGCCAUCUAAUGUAAGGGCCCGAAAUGUUACUGUUCUGAUAUCUGCACUGGGCACAGCUGAAUGAAAUAAAAACAAGCAUGUUAAAAUUCAAGAACGUUAGGGGGUAGGACAGUGAUAGUGGUAGAGGGAGGGAUGGUGUUCAUGUUAGAAGGUGGGACAGUUAUCAUGGUUAAGGAUGGGACAGUGAUCGUGGCAGAGGGUCAGACAGUGAUCGUGGUAUCGGGUGGAGCUAUGAUCGUGGUAGAGGGUAGGACAGUGAUAGUGGUAGAGGGUGGGAUGGUGAUCAUGUUAGAGGGUGGGAUGGUGAUCAUGUUAGAGGGUGGGAUGGUGAUCAUGUUAGAGGGUGGGAUGGUGAUCAUGUAGAGGGUCAGACAGUGAUGGUGGUAGAGGGUGGAGCAGUGAUCCUGGUAGAGGGUGGGGCAGUGAUCCUGGUAGAAGGUGAGACAGUGAUAGUGAUAGAAGAUGGGACAGUGAUUAUGGUAGAGGAUGGGACAGUGAUCGUGGUAGAGGGUCAGACAGUAAUCCUGGUAGUGUGUUGAACAGUGAUUAUGGUAGAAGGUGAGACAGUGAUUAUUGUAGAGGAUGGGAGUGAUCUUGGUAGAGGGUAGGGCAGUGAUCAUGGCAGAGAGUGGCACAAUGAUUGUGAUAGACAAUGGGACAGUGAACCUGGUAGAGGGUGAGACAGUGAUUGUGGUAGAAAGCGGGGCAUGUUUUGUGAUAGAGGGUGGAGCAGUGGCUGGAGGAGUGCUGGUUUUGGCCAGCUUUCUCUGGGUGUAACUUGUUGGCAGCAGUCGCAGUAAUUUUUUUUUCUUGGUUUUCUACGGUCUUCUGCCAUGUAAUCAUGAUUUUCUUUC
RNA transcript from Bufo bufo (common toad), 2733 nucleotides. RefSeq lists it as uncharacterized. Lineage: Eukaryota; Metazoa; Chordata; Amphibia; Anura; Bufonidae. The record is from RefSeq and is a predicted model, not a curated record. The transcript is spliced from 2 exons.